RNAcentral lists this ribosomal RNA (465 nucleotides) under uncultured Klebsiella sp. Its description in RNAcentral is "bacterial SSU rRNA". It matches the Rfam family "Bacterial small subunit ribosomal RNA", at positions 338 to 795 of the family's 1533-position model. The record is from RNAcentral. Lineage: Bacteria; Pseudomonadati; Pseudomonadota; Gammaproteobacteria; Enterobacterales; Enterobacteriaceae.
CCUACGGGCGGCAGCAGUGGGGAAUAUUGCACAAUGGGCGCAAGCCUGAUGCAGCCAUGCCGCGUGUGUGAAGAAGGCCUUCGGGUUGUAAAGCACUUUCAGCGGGGAGGAAGGCGUUAAGGUUAAUAACCUUGGCGAUUGACGUUACCCGCAGAAGAAGCACCGGCUAACUCCGUGCCAGCAGCCGCGGUAAUACGGAGGGUGCAAGCGUUAAUCGGAAUUACUGGGCGUAAAGCGCACGCAGGCGGUCUGUCAAGUCGGAUGUGAAAUCCCCGGGCUCAACCUGGGAACUGCAUUCGAAACUGGCAGGCUAGAGUCUUGUAGAGGGGGAUAGAAUUCCAGGUGUAGCGGUGAAAUGCGUAGAGAUGUGGAGGAACACCAGUGGCGAAGGCGACUCUUUGGUCUGUAACUGACGCUGAGGCGCGAAAGCGUGGGGAGCAAACAGGAUUAGAUACCCUUGUAGUC